This is a long non-coding RNA of Diospyros lotus (date-plum), 8116 nucleotides long. RefSeq lists it as uncharacterized. NCBI's taxonomy places the organism in Eukaryota, Viridiplantae, Streptophyta, Magnoliopsida, Ericales, Ebenaceae. The transcript has 3 exons. The record is from RefSeq and is a predicted model, not a curated record.
CAUCAUUGGAAUACAUAUAUUUUAUUUAUCUUUGUAUUUUUAAAUAUAUGUAAGCGAUGACAUCAUUCUAACCCAUGAUGUAAGCGAUGAUGUCAUUCCAACUCGUGAUGUAAGCAAUGAUGUCAUUUCAACCCGUGAUGUAAGCGAUGAUGUCAUUCCAACCCAUGAUGUAAGCGAUGAUGUCAUCAAUUUGUGGGACUUGGGCUUUUCAUAUUUUUGGGCUUGAGCCUUCCUUGUGUUGGGCUUGGGCCUGGGCUUUUCUUGUUUUGGGCUUGAGUCUUCCAUGUGUUGGGCUUGGGAUCCAUAAUAUUAUAUUUAUUUUUUAUAUUUUUAUAUUAAUUAAUAUUUUUAAACAUGCACAAAAUGCAUAAUAAUAUUCAAUUUAAACCAUUUUAAGAUCAAAAUAAGGGUAAAAUUAUAACAAAAUUUUUAUAAAAUUAAUCAAUAAUCAAUUAGUACUCUGCAUGAUCCCUUAACAGAAAUGGAGACUAUUACCCGAGUGAGUGUUUGAGCUUAAUAAAUGUUGAUUUUGAGUGAAAUAACACUUACUCUAAAUGUGCUUUAUUGUUUAUCUCAUCUUUUUUAAUAGCUUCAAAACAUCAAUUUGCUUUGGACGUCUAGAAUGAUAGAAGAUGAAUUUGGUUGGUUUCAAACUUUGGAUUAGGAGACUGAGUAACAUUAUUUUGUAGAAGCAUGAUAGGGGGAUCAAUUUAUUAUAACUUGAGCCUAUUAACAUUUUUCUUUCUUUAUAUUAAUCUCCAUUACUAGCCCACUUGGGUCAUUUUUAAACACAAUUUCUUUUCUUACUCUCAUCUAAACCGUAACCACAUGAAGUUUGUCCAAACCUAGUGUAUUUUUAGGAAUCAGUCUAUAUCAGUAUUUUCAUAUAUAAAAAAAAAGAAAGAAAAAAAGCGAAAAAAAAAAGAAAAAAUGAGAAGUUCUCUUAGCUAUUCAUGUGAUCUUAGGAUUCGAAUUUAGAGUAGGGAAUUAUGUUUAAAUUCAGAAGUUAUUUAUCUAGGACAUUAUUUCAGUCAUGAAGUUAUGUUAAUUUUCCUAUUCUUUCAUGAAAAUACGUUUCUUGUAUUUAGAAUAACAUCAAGUUUUGAACUUGUUCUGCAUUUAAUCUUAUAACGGUGCACCCCCUUGUGUGUACACAUGAGGAAUCAUUUUUAUUGGAGGGAAAAUUCAUAGUAAGAUUUAAAGUCAAAACUUCGAGGGAAUAAGUCUAUGUGUUGGUCAUCUUGAUUGCCAUUCCUGAGAUUGUAUGACCCUUAACCAAAAAAUCUGAUUUAGAAUGUUUGACUGUAUGCCAAACUACUUAUUCUAUUUUAUGCAUUUCGGUUUCGAAUUUGAAAUUUUUCUAUUCAUACGAUUAUUGUGAAUAAAUCUUAGUAGGUGUAUAGUCUGAUUGCUAAGGGACUAGCAAUGUUUAAGUUGGGGGGUAUGAUGAGGAGUUAAUUUUUUUAAAUCUUAAUGAAUUAUAUCCCUAUUUUUAUUUUAUAUUAAUGUUUAAAUUGAAUAAUUAUACACAUUAUGUACUAUUGUCAGGAUGAUAUGAAAAAAUUAGUAUUUGUUGCGUAAUUGAAGAUGUUAAAGAGUCAAUCGGAUGACCAACGUUACUACUCAAAUUCAAGUGCAAUUUGGUCAACUAUUAAAUGGAGUCCAACACAAGGAAGACCCAAACAUUUUAAUCACAAGAAAAAUCUAAAUCCAACAUAAAGAAGACCAAAAACUCAACUUAUGAAAAUUUAUUUUUAUUUUUUAUUUUUAAAUAUAUGUUUUAUGAGUGCUUCUUUAGAUGUCUUUUAGCUAAAAUUUAUUUAAUUUUAGGUAUGUCUUUUAGCUAAUUUUCUUCCACUAGUUAGGUGAAUGUUUUGUGAGUGCCCAUUAGAUAUAAUUAUGUUUAGUUGUAUAAUUUUAAAUUGUGUGGUUUGUAUUGCAUCUUGUGGGCUAUAAAUAGCUCACUUGGUUGUACUUGUAUGAGACUAUUAUUCUUGAAUCAAAGUGAGCUUUAUAGCCUCAUAUAAGUGAGCUAUUUAUAGCCCACAAGAUGCAAUACAAGCCACACAAUUUAAAAUUAUACAACUAGACAUAAUUAUAUCUAAUGGGCACUCACAAAACAUUCACUUAACUAGUGGAAGAAAAUUAGCUAAAAGACACCUAAAGUUAAAUAGAUUUUAGCUAAAAGACACACCUAAAGAAGUACUCAUAAAACAUAUAUUUAAAAAUAAAAAUAGAUUUUCACAACUUGGGUUUUUGGUCUUCUUUAUGUUAGAUUUGGGCUUUUUUUGUGAUUAAAAUGCUUGGACCUUCCUUGUGUUGGACUCCAUUUAAUAGUUAACCAAAUUGCACUUGAAUUUGAGUAGUAACGUUGGUCAUCUAAUUAAUUCUUUAACAUCUUCAAUUACACAGCAAAUGUCAAUUUCUUCAUAUCAUUCUGACAAUAGUACAUAAUGUGUAUAAUUAUUCAAUUUAAACAUUAAUAUAAGAUAAAAAUAGAGAUAUAAUUCAUUAAGAUUUAAAAAAAAUUAACUCCUCAUCAGGGAAUACAAAAUAUCAAGCCUUAAACUAAUGAGAGAGAUGUAAACACAAAAUGAUCAAUUAACAACUGUUGAUAUAACACUCUAUAGUUUGAUUCUUAGUCAUUGAUGGAGUUUUAGAUCAAUAGCUAUAAAUUGUUGUUUUCUAUCUCCUCUCGCUCUAUAGUUUAGGGUUUUUUCUUGUCCACUAACCUGGCUAACUUUUCUUCACCCACCCCUUGCCUGAAUGGGUGAGAACCUAAGAUGAAUGUCCAUCUUUACUUCUUAAUUGUUGAUGGAUCGUUAGAUCAAGGACUAUGAAUCAUUAUUUGUUUUUUCCAUUCACUAAUUAGUUUAAGGUUUGAUCUUAGUUGUUCCUUAGGCUAACUUUUCUUUGACCAAUCCUUCCUUGAACCAAUUAAGUUGUUUUACUUCAAGGAAUAACUUAAGAAAAGAUAACCUAGUAAGCUCAUAAGACCGAGCUUGAAUUUGAUGAGGCAAAUGAGAUAACAAGAAAUGAUCAAUUCAUAACCGUUAAUAUACUCUAUCAAUGGGUGAGAAUCAAGAAUGAAUGUUUAUCUUGGGUUCUUAGCUAUUGAUGGACUAUCAAAUCAAUGGAAAUGAAUAAUUGUUUCUUGUCACCUCUCAAACAUUAGUUUAUCGCUUGUUCUUGUCUACUCUCUUGGUUAACUUCUCCUUGUUGAACCCAUUCUUGAACUAAUCAAGUUGUUUUAGUUUAGGGAAGUUAAAUGAUGAAAAAUUAACCUAAGGAGCUAAUAAAAAGAAGAAUUAAACUAAUGAGAGAGAGAGAUAACAACAAAUAAUGUUUGAUUCACAAUAGUUGAUAUGAUAGUCAUCAAUUGGUGAGAACCAAAGUAAGCAUUCACCUUUGAAUCUUACUCGUUGAUGGGUAGUCAAAUCAACAAUUGUGAAUCAUUGCUUGUUAUCGCCUCUAAAUAAUUAGUUUAAGACUUGUAAUUGUUUGCUCACUAGGCUAUCUUUUCUUUUACCAACUUAGUUGGGUCACUAUUCAUUAUUUUAGUUUAGAGUUUAAAGGUUAGGAUUAAGGGAAGGUUUGUGUCGAGAAAAGUUUGCCUAGGGAGCACUCAAGAAAAAGUCUUAAAUUAGUAAGAGAGAAACAAACAAACAAUGAUUAGUUCAGAACUAUUAAUAUGAUAUUCUAUCAAUGAGUGAGAAUUAAAGAUGAAAGAUGAAAUUUCAUCUUUGAUUGAUAGCCAUUGAUGGAGUGUUAUAUCAAUAGUUGUGAAUCAUUUUUUAUAGUCUCCUCUCACUUGAAGUUUAAGGCUUGCUCUUGUCUGCUAACCAACCUAACUUUUCUUUGUCUACCCCGUGCCUCAACUAAAAUAACUUGUUCAAGUUAUAGUUAUUUUCAUUCAGGAAAGGGUUGGGCAAAGAUAAAUUAGCCUAAAAAGCACACAUGAUAGAGCCUUAAACUAAUGAGAGAGCUAACAACAAAGAAUAAUUGAUUCACAACCAUUAAUAUGAUUCUUCAUAAAUAGGUGAGAACCAAAGAUGAACACUCAUAUUUCAUUCUUAGCCAUUGAUGGAUGGUUAGAUCAACUAUUGUUUGUUAUACCCUCUUAGUCAUUAGUUUAAAGCUUUUUCUUGUUUGCUCACUCGAAAAACUUUUCUGCAUGCAACUUUUCCCCUGAACCAAUGAAGUUAUUUUUGCUCAAUUAAGGGCUAGGCUAGUAAAUCUAGGGAUAGAAGGAGAAACAUUAAACUAAUGAGAGAAAGGAGGUAAUAAGCAACAAUAUAUUCACAAUGAUUGAUGUGAUUCUCUAUCAACAAGUGAGAACCAAAGAUAAACCCUCAUCUUUGAUUCUUAGUUGUUGAUGGACCAUCAAAUCAUUCUAAGCUUUGUUUGAUGUUGUAUCUCACUCAUAAGCUUAAGUCUUAUUCUUGUCUACUCACUAAGUUAAUUUUUCUUCACUUAACCCUUCCCAAAAGCCCCCCCCAAAAAAAAGAUUGAAGUUGUUGCGGUUUAGGAUUUAUGGUUUAGAGAAGGGUUAAGCAAAGAAAAGUUAGCCUGAGGAGCACUCAAGAAGAAGCUUUAAAUAAUGAGAAAAAGGAAAUAAAAAAAAAAUGACUUAUUCAUAAUCAUCAGUAUGUUAUUUCAAUUGUCGAUAUUUUUAAAAUCCCCCAAUGGCUAUGAACUGUUAAUUGUUAUUGUUAACAUAUUAUUUGAACACUUGUUCUUGGUUACUCACUUGGAUAACUUUCUUUUACCCAACCCUUCCCUAAACUAAUGAAGUUUUUGUUCAUGAAAGGGUGUCUACAACUUUUGAGAGAGAUUCAACAAGAAGCAAUGAUCAAAUUGCAACUAUUGAUGUAACAUUCCAUCAAUGGGUGAGAACGUAAAGGUUAGGCAAGUAGAAGUUAGCCUAAAUGUACAAGGAGAAGAGUUCACCAAUGAGAGGAAGGCAACAACAAGCAACUAUAGAUUCGCAACCACUGAUAUAACUCUCCAUUAAUAUUUUAGGGUUUAGGGUUCAGAAAAGAUCUAUGUGAUGAAAAGUUAGCCUAAGGAGCACUUAAGAAGAAGACUUAAACUAUGAGAGAGGGGAUAACAAGAGGUAAUGAUCAAUUUAACACCAUUAAUAUGAUGUUUCAUCAAUGAGUGAGAAUCAAAGAUGAAAUUUGUUCUUUGAUUCUUAGUCAUUGAUGGACAUGUUAGAUCAAAGAGUGCAAAUCAUUGUUUGUUGUAGCCUCACUCCUUAAUUUUAAGUCUUCUUCUUGACUGGUCACCAGAUUAACUUUUCUUUGCCUACUCUUGCCUAAACCAAAAAUAAAAAUAACUUAAACAUGUUUUGGUUUUGUGAAGUUCUAAGCAAACAAAUGUUGGCCUAGGGAGCACAAAAGAGAGAUAUAGAGAGAAGCACUAACAAGUAAUGAUUAAUUCUCAACUAUUGAAAAUAAGUUCUAUCUUUGGUUCUAUACAUUGAUGAAACAUUAUAUCAAUUACCUCAAAUCAUUGUUUGUUAUUGCCUCUUACUCAUUAGUUUAAGGUUUGUUCUUGUUUGUUCACUAGGUUGAUUUUCUUCGCUUAGUUGUUCCAUAAACCAAUUAAGAUGUUUCGAUUCAAGGAAGUGCUAGGUAAAGAAAAGUUACUCUACAUAGCAUAUAAGAAUAAGCAUUAUACUAAUGAGAGAGAUGCAACAACAAGCAACACUUGGUUUAUAACCAUUAAUAUGGCUCUUCGUAAACAUAUGAGAACAAAAAAUGUAGGUUCAUCAUUGAUUCUUAACUAUUAACGAACUGCCAGAUUAAUGGUUGUGAAUUGUUGGUUGUUAUUCCCUCAGAUUUUAGUAUAAGGGUUAUUCUUGUUUGCUUACUAGGCUAACUUCUCUUAACCCAACCCUUCCCGGAACCAAUCACAUUGUUUUAGUUCAAGGAUGGGCUAAGCAAAGAAUAGUUAGCCUAGGGUGCCUAUAAGAAGAAGCUUUAAAUUAAUGACAGAUGGAUGGCCACGAGAAAUGCUUGAUUAACUGUGGUUAACAUUAUGCUCCAUCAAUGGGUGAGAGUUAGAGAUUAAUGUUUAUCUUUUAUUCUCAACCAUUACUAAAUUUGUUCUUGUCUACUCACUAGGCUAACUUAACCAACUAACUAGGCUAACUUUUUAUUGUUCAAGUUUAGGGUUUGGAGUUUAGAGUUCUAGGAAGGGUUGGGAGAAGGAAAGUUAGCUCAGGGAGCACUUGAGAAAAAGCCUUAAAAUAAUGGGUUAUAGGUGCCACCAAGCAAUGCGUGAUUCAUGAUUGUUGAUAUAAUGCUUCAUCAAGGGUGAGAACCAUAGAUGAAAGUUCAGCUUUGAUUAUCAGUGUUGAUAGGGCAUUAGAUCGACAGCUAUGGAUCGUUGUCUCUUACUCAUUAGUUUAAGGCUUGUAAUUAUCUACUCACUUGGCUAACUUUUCUUCAGUUAGACCUUUCUUGAACUAGAACAUCUAAAUAAGUUGUUUUGAUUCAGGAAAAGGUUGGGUGAAGAAAAGUUAGCCAAUGGAGCACAUAAGAAGAAACCAUAAACUAAAGAGAGUUAGGUGACAACCAAUAAUGUUCUAUUCACAACAGUGGAUAUAACAGUACCAAUGAUACAUGUAUGAUUCUUAUUAGGUCAAUGACUAUGAAUUGUUGUUUAUUUUUGCCUCUCUCAUUCACUUAAGCCUUCUUGUUGUUUGUUUACUAAGCUCAUUUCUUCGCCCAACAUUUCAGCUAAGGUAGGGAUGAGAGAAUAGAUGUGAACCUGGUAGGCACAAUUGAAGAAGCUCUGAACUAAUGAGGGAGAGGUGAUAACAAAUAAUGAUUUAUCUGUAUCCAUUGAUAUGAUGUUCCAUUAAAGACAAAGAAUUAACAUAGUUUCCAUCUUUGAUUCUCAACUAUUAAUGGAUUGCCUGAUUAAUGAUUGUAAAUAUUUAUUUUUAUUGCCUCUUUCUCAUGAGUUUUAACACUUGGUAUGGCUACUCACUAGGCUCACAAUUCUUUAGCCAACCCACCCUUGAAUGAAAAAACGUUCUUCAGUUACUUUGAUUCAAAAGGGCUAGUCAAAGAAAAGUGAGCAUAGUAAGCACAUAAGAAGAAAUCUAAGAGGCAACACAAGUAAUGAUUACUUUGCAGUUGUUGAUUUGGAAAUUAAUCAACAACUUUCCUUUUGAUUCUUAGCCAUUAGCAGCACAUUAAAUCAACUAUUGUGAAAUGUUAUUUGCUAUCAUCUCUCUAUAGUUUAAGUCUUAUUCUUCUCUACUUACUAGGCUCACUAUUUUUUCCCAAUCCUUCCCUAAAUCAGAACACCUUGACUAAUAUGAUUUAGUGAAAGGAUAAGUGAAGAAAAGUGAACCUAGUUAGUAGACAAGAAGAAGGCUUAAACUAAUGAGGGAGAGGUGAUAACAAGUAAUUGUUGAAAUAUUAGCCCAAAUGAAAGUUUAAGAGGGAAUGAAUUAAGCUAUAUAGGUUUUUAUCAAACUAAAAUAACAUCACUGAAAGUAAUGCGUGUAAAGACAUGAAAAUUGAGAAAGAUUACACUAGAUUUAUAGUGGUUCAGUAAACGAUCUACAUUCAUUACUUUGACUCCUCGCUAAACUUGAGCCUGUGAAAAGCUAUGUAAAAAGUUCUAACUAAGCCCACUAAUAUUAGUUUAGGAAUUAUAUAAUAAUACUCUAUUAUAUCGAGGGUCUAACUUAAGCAUCAUAAUGUUUGUAUGGGAAAGGAAAUGCCCUGCACCCUUUGAUUGAUUUUUGUCUUGCAAAAUUUAGAUGGCCUGAAGAUGAAUUUCUUGACUAUAAAUUUUAUUAUCGUGUUCAAGCAGCAACACUAUUUAUCGGCUCUACAUUGCUAUUAUAUGAUUUAUAAAUAUACUUGUUUAUGAAUACGUUGAUCAAGGAGUUUACUACUCUGCGUGUUUACAAAUUUUAUUAUUGUUAUUUUUACAAAAUUACCAUAAGUCCAAUUAUACUUCCUUAAGAUUUUGUGACAAUGUCAUUAGCCCUUUCACUCAUAUACCCAACCCAAAUCACCAUAAUGGAAAACCACACCAAGACUUAAUUGAAGGGAAAUUGAGGCUCACACUUGAAUUUCUAACUUACCAA